GACGAACGCUGGCGGCGUGGAUUAGGCAUGCAAGUCGGACGGUAGGGCUUUAUCGUAAGAUAGAGUUUGAGAGUGGCGAACGGGUGAGUAACACGUAGGAAUCUACCCUUAAGACGGGGACAACCCAGGGAAACUUGGGCUAAUACCGGAUGAGAGUGCGAGAGAUUGCAUUUAAAAGGAUGGCGAAAGUUGUCGCUUAGGGAUGAGCCUGCGGUCUAUUAGUUAGUUGGUGAGGUAAGAGCUCACCAAGGCGAUGAUAGAUAGGCGGCCUUAACGGGUGGUCGCCCACACUGGGAUUGAGAGACGGGCCCUACUCCUACGGGAGGCAGCAGUGGGGGAUUUUGGACAAUGGGCGAAAGCCUGACCCAGUGACGCCGCGUGCAGGAAGGAGCCCUUCGGGGUGUAAACUGCUGUCGUGUAGGGAGAAGGGUACUAAGGUGAACAAUCUUAGUACUUGACGGUACUACAGGAGGAAGCCCAGGCUAACCUCGUGCCAGCAGCCGCGGUAAUAUAGCGU
Molecule: ribosomal RNA, 517 nt
Filed under: uncultured bacterium
Lineage: Bacteria
Description: bacterial SSU rRNA
Rfam family: Bacterial small subunit ribosomal RNA
Source: RNAcentral